AUGAACGCUGGCGGCGUGCUUAACACAUGCAAGUCGAACGAAGCACUUUAAAACAAUCUUUCGGGUGCGUUUUAUUGUGACUUAGUGGCGGACGGGUGAGUAACGCGUGGGUAACCUGCCUCAUGCAGGGGGAUAACAGUUAGAAAUGACUGCUAAUACCGCAUAAGCGCACAGUACCGCAUGGUACAGUGUGAAAAGAUUUAUCAGCAUGAGAUGGACCCGCGUCUGAUUAGCUAGUUGGUGAGGUAACGGCUCACCAAGGCGACGAUCAGUAGCCGACCUGAGAGGGUGACCGGCCACAUUGGGACUGAGACACGGCCCAAACUCCUACGGGAGGCAGCAGUGGGGAAUAUUGCACAAUGGGCGAAAGCCUGAUGCAGCGACGCCGCGUGAGUGAAGAAGUAUUUCGGUAUGUAAAGCUCUAUCAGCAGGGAAGAAAAUGACGGUACCUGACUAAGAAGCACCGGCUAAAUACGUG
This 478-nucleotide ribosomal RNA is filed under the name uncultured bacterium. RNAcentral describes it as "bacterial SSU rRNA". It matches the Rfam family "Bacterial small subunit ribosomal RNA", at positions 29 to 507 of the family's 1533-position model. The record is from RNAcentral.